Gasterosteus aculeatus aculeatus (three-spined stickleback) is the source of this 2075-nucleotide long non-coding RNA. NCBI's taxonomy places the organism in Eukaryota, Metazoa, Chordata, Actinopteri, Perciformes, Gasterosteidae. The record is from Ensembl.
ACAUUUUAGGAGCAGCUGGUCUAAGUGUAAGUAAAUUUAAUUUGGCUGCAAAAACACAUUGCAUUCUUAAUUGACUAAAUUGUCGCUGGGGGUAAUUUUCUGUGAUCGAGGAAUGCAGAGCCGCCCACAUCAAAUAAAGUCCUUGUUUAGAACAUGAAAGUAUCGAGGAGGAUGAACAACACGUGUUUGAUUCCAAGUACAGGGAGAAAUACGGCAAAUGCAUUCUCUUGAUGUCCAGGAGGAUAUUUAUCCUGGCCCCCAUCUGGGGGAGGUCGACUACCAGCCAGGAAAGGUCACAGAGAUCUCCUACCUGCCGCGUGGCUGCCGUUCUAAUUGCUCCUCUUUGUCUCGUUUACAGGGCUUAAUAGGGUCCGGGGGUUAGAGAGCUGGGGUCAGACGUCCGUCGCCUUACGAUCCCCACUGUUUGUCCAGGCUGGUUGUGUUUGGAGCACAUGGCAUCACUCCACACGUCUUCUCUCAGUACUCCUGUUCUACGUGUCAGCUCGUGUAUUCAUCCACGUAAGAGGAGGAUUAAGCCGCUUCCUUACAUGACUUUACUGUAUUUAGCCAACAAGAUUGUGUGCGUUCAUUAGGAACAACAAUUGUCAAAAUGUGUUGGAAAAUGUGUAAUUGUUGCUAUGCAGAGUAGUACAUGGUAGGACGUGUCAUGACGUUAUCCAGUGGCCACAAGAGCACCCAGGAAGUGCCAUGGUUAAUAGGAUGUGCUUGAGUAAAGCACAGAUCGGGUCAGAUGGAAUUAUUCUGUUGAAUUUUAAAACCAUAAGUGCACCGUACUAAUGUCUCACUGUAGAUCCAAGAAAUUCCAGUUUAGACAGUUAAUCAUGGACUUCAAAUCACACAGUAAUUCCUAAAACUCUUUCGCCAGUGCCUACCAGUUGACAUUAUUUGAUUUUAAAGGUCAAGGUCAUAGAUCAAGAACAAAGGCCUUCCGUUCAAGUCCAACGACACCAAGAGGACUGUAUUUCUUUGGGAUCAGUUGUUUUGUUGCUUUAAUGUGUUUUUAUUGGGAGCACAGUAAUUGGUGAGGACAGCUUAUGAACAGCAUUUCCUCACUGUGAAUAUUUGCUCUUUAAAAAUUCAUCCAGAGAAGGUUUAGUCGGCUUGCACAUUUACUUAUGUGAGUGUGCAAGCGUAAUAUGUUUGGAUUGUAUGUUGAAUCUUUGAUGUUAGAGGAUGAAUGACACCGAUUAAGCUGUCAGACCACAAACUGAUAGAGGCCAGAUGACAAAUCAAGACCUCAGUGAAGCACUCAAACCAAUGAUGUGUGCACACGCUGGCUUGUGUGUGGAAACAACGCAGACCGUUUUCCAUUUAUUCUUUACUAAUGAUUAACGAGGACGAACUUUCAGAAAUAUUAAAGCCGAGCAGGGGGAGAGACUCAUUUAUAGCUGACUCUCUUGUUUAUAUUGGACAACAAAUGUCCCACCCAGACGCACACUCCUACUACUGCUCCCCACCCCCCUCUUCCUUCCCCACAACUGUAUGACUUAUCUGUUUAUGAUGUCAUCAACUAACAAGACCAACAUUUUUGCUCUGACACAUGCAUGUACACAAACACAUGAAGUAUGCACGUAGACAAACACGUGUACAAGUAUGCACGUACACAAACAUAUGAAGUAUGCACGUACACAAACACAUGUACAAGUAUGCACAUACACAUGAACAAGUAUGCACAUACACAUGAACAAGUAUGCACGUACACAAACACAUGUACAAGUAUGCACAUACACAAACACAUGAACAAGUAUGCACAUACACAUUACAUUACAGGUCAUUUAGCAGACGCUUUUAUCCAAAGCGACUUACAUUAUACUGUAAACCCAUGGCUUUUUCACAUUUUGCCUGGGGAGCAAUUAGGGGUUAGGUGUCUUGCUCAGGGACACUUCGACAUUGAACAUGGGGCAGCCCGGACUCGAACCACCAACCUUGUGCUUCCCAGCACACCUUCUCUAGCCCCUGCGCCACGACGACCCCAAACACAUGUACAAGUAUGCACAUAGACAAACACGUGUACAAGUAUGCACGUAGACAAACACGUGUACAAGUAUGCACGU